Molecule: transfer RNA, 43 nt
Filed under: Naringi crenulata
Lineage: Eukaryota; Viridiplantae; Streptophyta; Magnoliopsida; Sapindales; Rutaceae
Description: partial tRNA-Asp
Source: RNAcentral
UUGGAUCCGUCGGGACUGACGGGGCUCGAACCCGCAGCUCCGC